Molecule: ribosomal RNA, 443 nt
Filed under: uncultured eukaryote
Lineage: Eukaryota
Description: partial 18S ribosomal RNA
Rfam family: Eukaryotic small subunit ribosomal RNA
Source: RNAcentral
CACAGGUGUAUAUUAAUUCUGUUGCAGUUAAAACGCUCGUAGUUGGAUUUUGGAGGUGUCUAUGGUGUUUGGUCCGCAUUGUAUGUGAGUACCAUCACCGGCCCUUCGUACGUGGUAACGAUGUAGGCGGAUCGCUUAAGUGCGAACUGUCUUUUGUGGACCGAGCGAUCGGGAAGCAGAGGUUGGCGAGCAAUCGUCAGCAACGUCUUACCUAUUUUACUGUGAAAAAAUUAGAGUGUUCAAGGCAUUGCUUAGGCAAAUUGAAUAGUUUAGCAUGGGAUAAUAGAAAACGAGAGUCGUCUUAUUUUGUUGGUUUUAUAAGAAGACUUUAAUGAUCAAUAGGGAUGGUCGGGGCUGUUUGUAUUGAUUCGUCAGCGGUGAAAUGCAAAGAUUGUGUCAAGACAAACAUCUGCGAAAGCAUUCAGCAAGGACAUUCUCAUUAA